This 492-nucleotide ribosomal RNA is filed under the name uncultured bacterium. RNAcentral's name for it is "partial 16S ribosomal RNA". It matches the Rfam family "Bacterial small subunit ribosomal RNA", at positions 30 to 507 of the family's 1533-position model. The record is from RNAcentral.
AUUGAACGCUGGCGGCAUGCUUUACACAUGCAAGUCGAACGGUAACAUGCCUUCGGGUGCUGACGAGUGGCGCACGGGUGAGUAAUGCAUCGGAACGUGCCCAGAGGUGGGGGAUAACGCAGCGAAAGCUGUGCUAAUACCGCAUGUGAUCUGAGGAUGAAAGCGGGGGACCAAGCAGCAAUGUUUGGCCUCGCGCCUCUGGAGCGGCCGAUGUCAGAUUAGGUAGUUGGUGGGGUAAAGGCCUACCAAGCCGACGAUCUGUAGCUGGUCUGAGAGGACGACCAGCCACACUGGGACUGAGACACGGCCCAGACUCCUACGGGAGGCAGCAGUGGGGAAUGUUGGACAAAGGGCGCAAGCCUGAUCCAGCAAUGCCGCGUGCGGGAAGAAGGCCUUCGGGUUGUAAACCGCUUUUGUACGGAACGAAAAGGCUCUGGCUAAUACCUGGGGCUGAUGACGGUACCGUAAGAAUAAGCACCGGCUAACUACGUG